GUGGCGAACGGGUGAGUAACACGUGGGUAACCUGCCCAUAAGAGGGGGAUAACAUCCGGAAACGGGUGCUAAUACCGCAUAGUUUUCUUGAUCGCAUGAUUGAGAAAGGAAAGACGGCCUUUGUGCUGUCGCUUAUGGAUGGACCCGCGGCGUAUUAGUUAGUUGGUGAGGUAAUGGCUCACCAAGACGAUGAUACGUAGCCGACCUGAGAGGGUGAUCGGCCACAUUGGGACUGAGACACGGCCCAAACUCCUACGGGAGGCAGCAGUAGGGAAUCUUCCGCAAUGGACGAAAGUCUGACGGAGCAACGCCGCGUGAGUGAAGAAGGUUUUCGGAUCGUAAAACUCUGUUGUCAGAGAAGAACAAGUUGGAGAGUAACUGCUCCAGCCUUGACGGUAUCUGACCAGAAAGCCACGGCUAACUACGUGCCAGCAGCCGCGGUAAUACGUAGGUGGCAAGCGUUGUCCGGAUUUAUUGGGCGUAAAGCGAGCGCAGGCGGUUCCUUAAGUCUGAUGUGAAAGCCCACG
This 527-nucleotide ribosomal RNA is filed under the name uncultured bacterium. RNAcentral describes it as "bacterial SSU rRNA". It matches the Rfam family "Bacterial small subunit ribosomal RNA", at positions 95 to 606 of the family's 1533-position model. The record is from RNAcentral.